UCCUACGGGAGGCAGCAGUAGGGAAUCUUCCGCAAUGGACGAAAGUCUGACGGAGCAACGCCGCGUGAGUGAUGAAGGCUUUCGGGUCGUAAAACUCUGUUGUUAGGGAAGAACAAGUGCUAGUUGAAUAAGCUGGCACCUUGACGGUACCUAACCAGAAAGCCACGGCUAACUACGUGCCAGCAGCCGCGGUAAUACGUAGGUGGCAAGCGUUAUCCGGAAUUAUUGGGCGUAAAGCGCGCGCAGGUGGUUUCUUAAGUCUGAUGUGAAAGUCCACGGCUCAACCGUGGAGGGUCAUUGGAAACUGGGAGACUUGAGUGCAGAAGAGGAAAGUGGAAUUCCAUGUGUAGCGGUGAAAUGCGUAGAGAUAUGGAGGAACACCAGUGGCGAAGGCGACUUUCUGGUCUGUAACUGACGCUGAGGCGCGAAAGCGUGGGGAGCAAACAGGAUUAGAUACCCUGGUAGUCCACGCCGUAAACGAUGAGUGCUAAGUGUUAGAGGGUUUCCGCCCUUUAGUGCUGAAGUUAACGCAUUAAGCACUCCGCCUGGGGAGUACGGCCGCAAGGCUGAAACUCAAAGGAA
RNAcentral lists this ribosomal RNA (582 nucleotides) under uncultured bacterium. RNAcentral's name for it is "bacterial SSU rRNA". It matches the Rfam family "Bacterial small subunit ribosomal RNA", at positions 337 to 909 of the family's 1533-position model. The record is from RNAcentral.